CGGGGUGAGUAAUGUCUGGGAAACUGCCUGAUGGAGGGGGGUAACUACUGGAAACGGUAGCUAAUACCGCAUAACGUCGCAAGACCAAAGAGGGGGACCUUAGGGCCUCUUGCCAUCGGAUGUGCCCAGAUGGGAUUAGCUAGUAGGUGGGGUAACGGCUCACCUAGGCGACGAUCCCUAGCUGGUCUGAGAGGAUGACCAGCCACACUGGAACUGAGACACGGUCCAG
RNAcentral lists this ribosomal RNA (229 nucleotides) under uncultured bacterium. RNAcentral describes it as "partial 16S ribosomal RNA". It matches the Rfam family "Bacterial small subunit ribosomal RNA", at positions 104 to 334 of the family's 1533-position model. The record is from RNAcentral.